UAUUUUAUUAUGAGCAUUGAUUUCAUGAAUAUGUCUUAUGAAAAUAGCAUGAUUAUGAAGUAUGAAUUUUAUGAUUUUGCCACCUAUGUAUAUGUAUGUUUUAAGAAAAAAAUAUAAUAAUUUCAAAGGCUCUCAGAUAGCUAUGAACGAAUUCUUUCGGAAAGGUCGACAUCCGGAGCUAGUAUCUAUAAGAACACAG
This 199-nucleotide long non-coding RNA is filed under the name Elaeis guineensis (African oil palm). Its description in RNAcentral is "long non-coding RNA (EGUI_LNC022656)". Lineage: Eukaryota; Viridiplantae; Streptophyta; Magnoliopsida; Arecales; Arecaceae. The record is from RNAcentral.